This 76-nucleotide transfer RNA is filed under the name Cytophagales bacterium. RNAcentral describes it as "tRNA-Thr". It matches the Rfam family "tRNA". From Rfam's summary of the family: Transfer RNA (tRNA) molecules are approximately 80 nucleotides in length. Their secondary structure includes four short double-helical elements and three loops (D, anti-codon, and T loops). Lineage: Bacteria; Pseudomonadati; Bacteroidota; Cytophagia; Cytophagales. The record is from RNAcentral.
GCCUCCUUAGCUCAGUUGGUAGAGCAGCUGAUUUGUAAUCAGCCGGUCACUGGUUCGAGUCCGGUAGGGGGCUCAA